GAAUAAUUUCGAUCUGAAAACGCGUUCCGUCGGCGGAUUUUGCCGACGAACGCACCGAAAGUCAAUUUCCGGUCUUCGCAAAGGCUUGGGGCCUUGGACAAUCAGUCCAGAGGUCACCCAUUGCCUGUACACGCUGCCCACAGCGACCACGACAAACAAAAUUGCAUAAAAGCCCUCCCGAUUACCUGAAAUCACAUUAUUUUAUGUGAUUUCGGCGCUUUUAUGGUCCGUCUACACAAACUAGAAGUCAUUCAGCCAAACCGAGACACCUACUGACAGGUCUCGGUGUGCCGGAGGCCGUGCUCACCUUUCAGAGCACUGCCGGCCACUGUGGCACGCGCACGAGCGAUGCGAAAAUCAGUGAAACAGCGCGCACAGCGCUAAGGUCGCGUCUAAUACACAAACCAGGGCAUCUUUAACCCUGCCGGAGGUGAACACGAUGUUCAGCACGAGUCGUAGAUCAUCGUGCUCACUUCCCGAGGUGAAGGAGACUUAUCGGAUCACCGGAAAGGUGACCGGAAACGUAAGACUAUGUGCUGGAACAUAAAAAUAGCAUACCAGAGUCAGGGAGAGCUAGGGUUGGUCGCCGGCGGCCGGACGGCUGGCGGUACGGCCAGGGAAGGGUGCGGCUGGUCAGUGUGGUCCGGGGAACCUGCUGGCCGGCGGCGGGAGGCGGCCGGUGGCACGGCGGCUGCGAUCCAAUCGGCCAAGCUGCUCUCGGGUUCAAGGGCGUCGGCGAUAAGGCGGCGGCCGGAAGAGCCCGGGAUUGCGACGAUCCGUCGCCGGAGGUCGAGGAGGAGGUGGCGCGCACGGCGCAUGGCGGCGGGGGCGCACGGUGGCGGUGUUGGCUCCGCCUUGACCCGCACCAGAUCUGGGCGGCCGCAGGAUGGAAGAGCGGCAGCCGGCAGCGCACAGGGAUGGCGGGGAAGCGCGCCGAAAGUCGCCGGAAGGCGGCGCGGCCAAUGGGGAGCGGUGGCCGCACGCGAAACCUGAGCUCGAGCCUGCUCGGUCUGGGUUGACCCGAGCUGGCCGCAGCUCGCUCAGCUGGCUCCAGCGGCGCGUGCUGACGGCAGAAACGUCUGGUAAUGGUGCCGGACGUUGGUCUCGGCUUGAGGAUGGUGGCGCUCAGACUUAGAUGACUCCUUGAGACCCCCAACCACAACAUGGUGGAGUGGUUGGCUGAGAAGGAGGGAGAAGGUGGUACGGAAGGGUUUUUCGGUGGCCGAAGAAGCUCACCGGCGGUCAGGGCGCGCGCGUACGGCAGGGCAGCGAUGAAGCUAACGACGGCUAGGGUUAGCUGGUAGCUGGGUGGACUCGGGUUAGGGUUUCCUUUGUGAAACCCGAGCUAACCUAUAUAUAUAUAGGUGAAAAUUGCUGAAAAGUCCUCCGUAGCCCACUAAUCUCAACUAGGUUCCCUGCCAGUAAGUGAACAUUGCGCAGAAGCCCCUCGACGUUUGAAUUCACGCAAAACGGCACAUAAAAUAUAGGGUCUAUUCACGAUUUAUCUGUUUUGGCAAUUUGACCCCUCAGCGGACUUUUCGCGAUUCCCGAAGAUACGUCAGUCGGAUUUCCGAACGGAUUGCUCCAGCGCGUUCAGCAUGGCUGGGGCAUCAAAUCUAGUAUUUUGUUUCGUCCGAUUUGGUCUUCGAUUGGCGACAAAACCAACCCUCUUUGCUUCCACCACAUAACCACCUAUAUUAAUAUAUGUGAAAUCAAUCAAACCCCUUUUUCCUGACAACCGAGCAUUGGAACCCAAUUCCGUCAGUGCCAUUGGGUUCAGAAUAGUCGAGCCGUUCGAAGCGAGCUAUUGGAGUCCUAUGUUUGGAGUCCAAUACACACCAGAACCCUUCUCUACUCACUGGCUCAUCCGAAAAGUCGGAGUUACUAUUCACUUUAAGUCAUCGGUCCUGGUUGCUUAACUUUUCCAUUCUAUCUCGUUUUCUCCCGAAACUUGACGAGUGCUUAUGUAAUUAAAUUACACACAAAAAUAUCGUCAACAGAGAGUUCAGCUAUACUAUCAAAAUCUCAAUCCUUACAUUAUCCCCCCUUAAAAGAAGUUUCGUCCCCAAAACUUGACCACGUACCCACCGUAAAUGAAUUCAGACAUUACUCUGCCACUGCGAUAUCACCUUGAGUACUGGUCAGUUACAAUAUGCUUGAAUCUGGACGGAUCAACCUCUCAAAGGUGGGGAGAAAAGUAUUGCAGUUCCACUCGGAUUAGACGAGGGAAAACAUACUAACCCAAAAUCUACGGACCAAAACUCACCGGGAUCAACACCAUCCUAUAACCUGCGGACAAAGACAGUCCCGCGACCAGGAUUAUCAAAUCCCAAAUUACCAACUCUGAGAUAAAAAUUCUCCACUCAGAAACUUUAGAUACACUCUACGUUAAUCCGCAUACCAGUAACCGACUCGACUACGUCGAAGGUUCACGUAGAAGAGAUACACCACAAGUCUGGAGUUUAUUUUCAUAGGCCGAAAAGACAUACUCUGACUAACCAACAACGUUAACCUGCUCACCACGAGUGAUUACGAAGCGUUGUUCCGACAACCGAGACAAUAACACUCACUAUAGAGACCACAGUCUCCCACCAGAUAACCACACAACUGCAAAAACCUCCAUCAACGGAAAGUCACAUGCAGUAUUCUACAGUCCUAGGUCCAAGACCUCACUUUCCACCAGACCAAAAGGUCCAAGGCUGACAAUACCAAUUGAGCUGGACAAUUUGUUCGCUUAAUAUUUCAAUCCAACCAACAUACGUCUCAUGCAAGUCCAUUACUUGGUGCACAGGAUCGCCAAUCGCAAUAUGCGAUACUAACCAUCGGUGAUGCCCAACACUUGUCUCUACGAAACCCUGUCGCUGCCGUCCUACAAAGGACCCUAGCGAUCGAUGUUCCCAGUAACACCCAAAUACCUGUCUCAUUGAGACCCAGGCGCACCUGUCACCAAAUAACCGGACAAGCAUACCACUCCAAGGUUUGCACGAUAAGCUAAGUCGCAAACCUUACACGCUAUCACAUACGGUGACAAUCAAAACCAACAACCAGGCUUAAGUCACUCAACAACUGUGAUUCUACCUCCCGGCAAACAGAUCGAGACUACUAACCAACCAAACCUUUUAGCAGUGGGAAGCACAACUAAAGAACUAACGAGCACCUAGACUCAACCAGAGUCGAAACCAUCAUCAGUGACGAUAAACCAACUGCGCAAAACCUACUAGGGAAUAAUCCAAAGCUCACUAUGUGGUUAGAGAUGACCAACACUCAAGAUUUCCCAAGACAAUCUAGAGAAAAAUACCGACCCAAUCCAUGAGUCCCAAACGGGAAGAGGGUAUUUCGUCCCAACUUUCGACAGUAUAUUGUCUGCAGCCAAUGUACUUAUCAAAAGAAAAGCGAAAUACCGAAGAUCUACUACCAACAACAAGUUGGAAGCACGACACGUCGAAGUAUUAAGCCACUUGAUAUCUCUUCACUGAACCAAAAGUUCAUAACCAAAACCGUCAAAACAUCGACUUUGCAAGUCGACAUUCGAAACAAGAUCGACCCAGAACUGACUCUCUGGGAGUCCCAUAGCUUUCAACAUCCGAAAGCUGCUUACGACUAAGCCGCGAACCGUACAAACUGAGGCUUUAGGAAACGGUUUUUCCAACCGAUUUCUGCACCACAUCCGAGCUAUAAUCAGAGCUCCGAGAACUCCGACAAUACAAUGAACCCUACCACAAACCACAGACUAACCCACAACACACCAAUUUGGGUAUUAGGAUAACCGCAUACGAUGUAUGCAUCAAUAGAGAUCUGACACCAAAACUGUGUCAAUCUGAUUCUAAUACAUGUCAAUUUGACGAAUGAACUAGUUAUAGGUCAAAAGGCUCAAACCGCUGAUUUCAUCAGCAAUCAAGGAAGAGAGGUAGGCAUCAAAACCCUACUCCAAGAUCUAAGGAAGAAUCAACAACAUUGCAGUCGCCUAACCGACCGCUACUAUAACCUUGGGCUACACUCUAGUAGCCCCACAGAAGCCGCGACCGUAACUGGUCUUAGUGCCGUCUCCGUAGAGACACUCCCAGUAGCUCUCGUGCCCUCAGUAGGAAGAGUGGCCUGGGCGUCGGCAGUUAAGACACUCGUCUAGGCCCAAUAAUCAUUGGCCCAUCAAGGCCCCACCUGACAGGAAUGGCUACACCUGGGUAACUUCACCCCGCCACUCAAUGUCAUAAGUACACCACCACUACUCCCAACUGAGACACCAGCUUGUGCGAAAGUCGUAGCACACACGGAAAUAACGGUGCACUCGAGUUUACCAAACUCGUCAUGCACACCGAGACACCAGCCCAAACCCCGGACUCAUGUGCCCAUACACCGUAGGUCUUCCUAUGGGUCAACCUAACCAAUGGUUCAGUUUCAUUUACUUUUCAAAACAACCUGUGAAAUGUGUUGUGGUUGUAACUCGGCUCUAACACCACUUUAAUCUGUCACGCCCCGGGGUCCCUUUUAGUUUGAAACAUAGCGGAAAAGCGUCUAAAUUUUUUUUUGAAAACCUGACCCCAGGGUAUGCCAGAUCCGCCACAAAUAUAGAAAAUUCACUGUUCACACGGAUAGAGUCUCCCCUGUAUUUGCACGGCGUCGCACAAGUACAACAAGUAAACCGAAUGCAACCACAACUAAAUGAAUAUAGAGAUAACUAUACAUUCAUACAUUCACCAUUCACAUCACAGAUUUACAUUCAAUGUCUAACAUAAAUCCACAGAAAGCCUUUUGAAACCUGUUCCCUACACGGAAACUUUUAUCUUUUAAAAACGCUACCACGAGAGAUAGAAAACCUUUUGUUUACGAAAACUAUUAAUCCUUUUUAUUACUUUUACAAAGCCAAAUCCAAAUAUAAUAAUUAACUGAAAUACCAAAAACUGAACAAUGAUAUGUCUAAGUUAUACCAACAGAAAUAAAAAGGACGACGACUAAACCGAACAAACCGGGUCGGAAGCUCUAACGACCGCUACGAACGUGUCUCAUGUCUCGUCUCACCCUCACCGCUCGCAAUACCUAAAAAAUAGUAGGGGAGGUGAGAAUAUAUAAACAUAUCUCCCCUUCCAGUGGGUACCGCAAGCCGAAGAAGGCGAGGAGUACUCACCGGGUCAGGAAGAGAUAAAUAAUAUAGGUAAGUGAAAUACAGUAGCAAUGAUAAUGAACGAAUGAGAUAUAUAUAUGAAAGAACAACUACCGCUACUGUAACGAAGAACUGAAAGCAUACAAGGAUAUCAAAACUAUAGUAGCAAGACAACUGUAAAGAAUACUGUAAGUAUACAUGCAACAACCGUUACUAUAACUAUAUGCGCCAACCGGACGAUAAGUCCAAAUAUACCCAAUCUGAAAACUUGGCCCUGUUGGUGCGCACGGCAGACCUCAAGCCUAUGCCACUGCCACUCUACCGUGUAUAACCCAAGGUAGCCUAUGGGCUCACAGCCUGCAUAUAACCCAAGGUAGCCUAUAGGCUCACGGGUUGGCACACCCAACCACUUUUUCGGAAAAGAACACCCUUUUGCGGUGGAUCAGACCGCUGGUGUUCGUGAAAUGCGUACGAGCCUCGGGCGAUCAAUGCUGAUAUGCUCAAAAGCCAAACGUCGGCAACCAACCGACAAUCACUGCCCCUUGGGGCAAACCGACCAAUAGGUCAUCAAACUGUAAGGAAGCAAUAGAACAGACCACUCAGGUCAACUAGGAUGGAACAACUCAACAUCGUCUCCAAUGUAUGCAAGUACUGCUCAAUGUCAACUAACUGUAUACUCAAGAACCGACCAAUAGGUCACACGAAUGUCACAUCAUGUAUCACUGAAGUCCAGAACUACCGUAAGCCACUAGCCGACAAUACAACCCCUCAGGGUACACCGACCUCAACGGUCAUCGAACGACAGAAGUCAAGGAACCGACUGAAUAGGUUACAGAUACAAGAUACAAGAACUGACCAAUCAGGUCACUGAUACAAAGUACGAGAACCGACCAACCAGGUCAUUAAUACGAAGUACGAGAACCGACCAACCAGGUCACUGAUAUCACAUACAAGUAAACUACUCUACUCCUACACAUGAUACUAAGUAUGGAAACAUCUGAGUAGAGUAUAACCAAAACGACAUGGGUGCUAGGCUCAACACUAUAUAUGAAGAUAUAUACAUGCCAAAUAACAAUGAGAGUAAGGGUAAGAAACCAUCACCGAGCGUGCACCACUGUACCGACUUCGGAUCGAAAUACCUACCUGUAUGAAUGUCGCGCCUGUCUCCUGACUGCGAAAGAAAGUCAACCGGACCUAAGGAAGGUCCACUGGGUUAGUGUCUAACCCACAACUAAUAACCACUAAAUCCACAACCCACAAACAAACCCACAGAGAUCGGUUUCCCAAACCGAUCGCCGUAAUACGCCGGAAGUCCCGUAAUCGCACGGGGACUCCGUCGGGACCCACGAACUAUCCCGGAACAUACCGACUCGAGCUACGAGUCACCCGCUGCCACUAAGCAUAAAUAAUCAUGCAUCAUGGCAGUGAACACAACUCCUCAUGUCGAAACAAUUAUCGUCGGAUAAUCGUUUCGAUCCGGAUUCCCGGAAGUGUCUAAUUCGACACCGGAACCCACCGUCGCUCACCUGUGAUUUUUGAACUCUCGAAACGAUGCGGGUGACCAGCCAACAAGGCUCAGCGACUACACCAUAGCUCACGAGGCACCGUCGGAAUAAUUUCAAACCGAAAACGCGUUCCGUCGGCGGAUUUUGCCGACGAAUGCACCGGAAGUCAAUCUUCGGUCUUCGCAAAGGCUUGAGGCCUUGGACAAUCAGUCCAGAGGUCACCCAUUGCCUGUACACGCUGCCCACAGUGACCACGACAAACAAAAUUGCAUAAAAGCCCUCCCAAUUACCCGAAAUCACAUUAUUUUAUGUGAUUUCGGCGCUUUUAUGGUC
Molecule: long non-coding RNA, 6936 nt
Filed under: Ananas comosus (pineapple)
Lineage: Eukaryota; Viridiplantae; Streptophyta; Magnoliopsida; Poales; Bromeliaceae
Description: long non-coding RNA (ACOM_LNC026773)
Source: RNAcentral